This 253-nucleotide ribosomal RNA is filed under the name uncultured bacterium. RNAcentral's name for it is "partial 16S ribosomal RNA". It matches the Rfam family "Bacterial small subunit ribosomal RNA", at positions 524 to 776 of the family's 1533-position model. The record is from RNAcentral.
CACGGGGGGAGCAAGCGUUGUUCGGAUUCAUUGGGCGUAAAGGGCUCGUAGGUGGCUUUGUAAGUCGGAGGUGAAAUCCCACGGCUCAACCGUGGACACGCCUUCGAAACUGUGAAGCUUGAGGCUGGGAGAGGAGAUCGGAAUUCCUGGUGUAGCGGUGAAAUGCGUAGAUAUCUGGAGGAACACCGGUGGCGAAGGCGGCAUCCUGGACCGGCAUUGACGCUGAGGCGCGAAAGCUAGGGGAGCAAACGGG